UCGGUAAUGAUGCUGGGGACGCGAGCGGCGGAUGGGUGAGUAACACGUGGGGAACCUGCCCCAUAGUCUGGGAUACCACUUGGAAACAGGUGCUAAUACCGGAUAAGAAAGCAGAUCGCAUGAUCAGCUUAUAAAAGACGGCGCAAGCUGUCGCUAUGGGAUGGCCCCGCGGUGCAUUAGCUAGUUGGUAAGGUAACGGCUUACCAAGGCAAUGAUGCAUAGCCGAGUUGAGAGACUGAACGGCCACAUUGGGACUGAGACACGGCCCAAACUCCUACGGGAGGCAGCAGUAGGGAAUCUUCCACAAUGGACGCAAGUCUGAUGGAGCAACGCCGCGUGAGUGAAGAAGGUUUUCGGAUCGUAAAGCUCUGUUGUUGGUGAAGAAGGAUAGAGGUAGUAACUGGCCUUUAUUUGACGGUAAUCAACCAGAAAGUCACGGCUAACUACGUGCCAGCAGCCGCGGUAAUACGUAGGUGGCAAGCGUUGUCCGGAUUUAUUGGGCGUAAAGCGAGCGCAGGCGGAAGAAUAAGUCUGAUGUGAAAGCCCUCGGCUUAACCGAGGAACUGCAUCGGAAACUGUUUUUCUUGAGUGCAGAAGAGGAGAGUGGAACUCCAUGUGUAGCGGUGGAAUGCGUAGAUAUAUGGAAGAACACCAGUGGCGAAGGCGACUCUCUGGUCUGCAACUGACGCUGAGGCUCGAAAGCAUGGGUAGCGAACAGGAUUAGAUACCCUGGUAGUCCAUGCCGUAAACGAUGAGUGCUAAGUGUUGGGAGGUUUCCGCCUCUCAGUGCUGCAGCUAACGCAUUAAGCACUCCGCCUGGGGAGUACGACCGCAAGGUUGAAACUCAAAGGAAUUGACGGGGGCCCGCACAAGCGGUGGAGCAUGUGGUUUAAUUCGAAGCAACGCGAAGAACCUUACCAGGUCUUGACAUCUAGUGCCAUCCUAAGA
Molecule: ribosomal RNA, 948 nt
Filed under: Lactobacillus helveticus
Lineage: Bacteria; Bacillati; Bacillota; Bacilli; Lactobacillales; Lactobacillaceae
Description: bacterial SSU rRNA
Rfam family: Bacterial small subunit ribosomal RNA
Source: RNAcentral